Molecule: ribosomal RNA, 254 nt
Filed under: uncultured bacterium
Lineage: Bacteria
Description: partial 16S ribosomal RNA
Rfam family: Bacterial small subunit ribosomal RNA
Source: RNAcentral
UACGAAGGGGGCUAGCGUUGUUCGGAAUCACUGGGCGUAAAGCGCACGUAGGCGGAUCGUUAAGUCGGGGGUGAAAUCCCAGGGCUCAACCCUGGAACUGCCUUCGAUACUGGCGAUCUUCGAGUCCGGGAGAGGUGAGUGGAACUCCGAGUGUAGAGGUGAAAUUCGUAGAUAUUCGGAAGAACACCAGUGGCGAAGGCGGCUCACUGGCCCGGUACUGACGCUGAGGUGCGAAAGCGUGGGGAGCGAACAGG